GACGAACGCUGGCGGCGUGCUUAACACAUGCAAGUCGAACGGAAAGGCCCUUCGGGGUACUCGAGUGGCGAACGGGUGAGUAACACGUGGGUGAUCUGCCCUGCACUUUGGGAUAAGCCUGGGAAACUGGGUCUAAUACCGGAUAGGACCACGGCAUUCAUGUGCUGUGGUGGAAAGCUUUUGCGGUGUGGUUUGGGCCCGCGGCCUAUCAGCUUGUUGGUGGGGUAAUGGCCUACCCAGGCGACGACGGGUAGCCGGCCUGAGAGGGUGACCGGCCACACUGGGACUGAGAUACGGCCCAGACUCCUACGGGAGGCAGCAGUGGGGAAUAUUGCACAAUGGGCGCAAGCCUGAUGCAGCGACGCCGCGUGAGGGAUGACGGCCUUCGGGUUGUAAACCUCUUUCGCCAGGGACGAAGCGCAAGUGACGGUACCUGGAGAAGAAGGACCGGCCAACUACGUG
This 462-nucleotide ribosomal RNA is filed under the name uncultured bacterium. Its description in RNAcentral is "partial 16S ribosomal RNA". It matches the Rfam family "Bacterial small subunit ribosomal RNA", at positions 28 to 507 of the family's 1533-position model. The record is from RNAcentral.